Molecule: long non-coding RNA, 623 nt
Organism: Prionailurus viverrinus (fishing cat)
Lineage: Eukaryota; Metazoa; Chordata; Mammalia; Carnivora; Felidae
Exons: 4
Source: RefSeq, a predicted model, not a curated record
CGCUCUCUCUCCCUGGUAUCUCACUGCUGCGUCGGUGCAGGUCCUUGAAAUUGAGCCUGGAAUGAAAUCAUGUAUCGAUCGGCUAAAACAUUACACUAAGUUCCUCCUCCUCUGAUGACUAAAGGCUUUGUUGUUGGACCUCAGCCAACUGCCUGGUUUCUUCUUCCUUUGGAAUGAACUCUUUCCAUACAGUUCUUAAUCUCCUGCUCAUAAUUUGACUUCUUUGGAACCAGAGCACUGAUUCAUCAGGCAUUAUCAGAUAUGCUUGAAGUUCAGCAAUGGAGACAGUUUAUGUUCUUUUGCAGAAAUCUUCUCAGUCACUACAGAACUCCAGCAGAUCUAUUCUAUAAUUUAUGCAACCAUGCCUAGAACCCAAGAGUGGACAGUAAAAAGCAGCACCGACUAACAGAGGAUGACAAGCCUACCAAUGAGAGGAAAGGUAUUCAGAUUUGGAAGGUUGUCAUCACUAUGACAUAAACCAUGUCAUAAACUAUGAAGACAGCAUUAUAACUGGCUUCUUUCUAUUCUUGCCCACCUACAAACUAUCUCUACAUUGAAGCCGGAAUGACCUUUUUAAAUAAAAUUUUAAUUGUGUCACUCUUGUUUUAAACCCCUCCUGGGGC